Molecule: non-coding RNA, 3748 nt
Organism: Rattus norvegicus (Norway rat)
Lineage: Eukaryota; Metazoa; Chordata; Mammalia; Rodentia; Muridae
Source: RefSeq, a predicted model, not a curated record
AAGAGGGAUUAGGGACAAGAGGAGAUUGUGGUUCAGAUCAAGUGUUUCAGCAUAAACCUGUGGCAUCUCACCUGGCAUUCUUUCCCCAGGGGCUCUGUCAUUGCAGGGCCUUCCUCCAUGGGCUGGAGGGCUGGAAGGCAAGAUAUUCCCUGGAUCUUAGCAGCAGCAAGACUCUGAGGAAGUUCAGCCCCUGAGGUGUGGUCCUAGUUCAGGGAAGGGGAGAAUCAGCUUCGUGAAGACCUCUACCUUCCUUCCCCUGCUGGUCACUUUCCAGGAACUGUGAUGAAGAAAGACAGAUUUGUGAAGUAGCAAACACAGAUGUCUGUGACCUGGACAUGCCAGUUACCAACAAAAAACAGGAAUAAUCUUUCUAAGUGAACUAAAGGAGAAAAGCAAGUUGCUGGUGAAGCCCCAUAGCAUCCUCUAGAGAACAGAGUCCAUGGAUCGUUUCAGCAGCAGCAGCAGAGACACAGAACCGCUGAGGACUGCCCAGUGUUACUAAGCAGGGAGCUUUGUGUCAUCACAGAGGACCAUGUGAGAGCAUCACAGGAAUGCACUGAACUUGGAGACAGCUAGGAUUAUUCUCAAGAAAAAUCUCUAAAAGUCUCACUUUGAUACCACUGGCAAGGUUGAAACUGUGAAACCCAGUGAAAGCUUUUGAGAGGUGAAGACAAAGUGCAGAUAAACAGGUGUGUGUCUACAAGAUGAAUCUAGAAACCCAGAGGAGGAGGAGUGAGCCAUGGUCUGCAGAAUUGAUAAGUGCAGAUGGAGGGAUAGAGCCAGGCUGGCUGGAAGACAGCACAGCUUUAUUCUACCAAGACGGUCUCAGAUUGCCAGGAGCCGCUCCAGAAGCCAAAGCAAGGUUUGUCCCUCAUGCUGAACAACUGUUCUAGAACAUAGGAACUCUGUGGCCGUGAUGAUUCUAGAAGACAUGAUCUUGCUAUAACCACACCAGAGAACAGUUCUGUGGUCCCAGCCACCAGGCAGCCCAGUCAGUUUCUGUUCCAUGUAACUCUGGCGUAAGCACUGUUCGAAUUCUUCUGAUUGUCUAGAUAAUGUUUAUUAAGAUGCCCACCAGAGAAUCACUGACAUUCUGGGAGCCAUCAGUGCAGAAAAGAGUUAGCUUUUUGAACCCUCCACAGAAUUGGCCAACAGAAAGCUCCAAGCUGACAGUAACACGUCCCCAAGUCCUCUUUACUGAGGCACUUCUCAGUCCCCCGUGAUACAGUUUGGUCCUUGUCAAGACACCUCAGUAACCCAAGUCCAUCUGUCUCAACAUGCUCAGACAGCUAUAAAAACACUAACUAGGAAUCCUGUCAGAACCAGAAACUCAUUCCUUACAGCUCUGGAAAUGGUCUGUUCAAAAUGCAGGUUUGGAAUCUGCUGCAGACCUUCCCCUUAGAGGAGGUUGCUUUUGUAGUCUAACUCCAUGUUGGAGACAGGGUGGCGGUCUCUUUGCUGUUCCUUUGUAUAACGGCAAUAAUCCCAUUCACCAGGGCUCUGCCCCUUAUGAACUGUUCUAUCCAAAGCCUAGCUUCUUAAUACCAUCACCCAGGACAUCGGGGUUUCAGCAGAUGAACAUUGGUGGAAACACACUUGAAUCAUCAAAGGAAGUGCUUGUGAGAAUGCUUAGAACAGCGGAAGUCCACUGGAGUGUCUUCUCAUUCCGUUCACUACUCUCAGAGCAAUAAAGAUGCGCAGUACUUGCUAUAGGCGGGCAUUGGUGUGAGUUGGAUCCUUCAAGCUUGGUAUCUUGAAGGUUAACAGACUUGGUUGUGGCCAUGCAACUUGGAAGUAGAAAAGAAGGGACUUGUCCCAGAGUGGUCUGUCUUCACAGGCCACACAUCUGCUCACCGGGGACACUGCUAUUCUAUUUCAUGUUAUCUUUACCUUGCUGAGCGAACAGAAAGUUCAAGGAUGCCAAGGUAACUUCGUGGUGUGGUCAUUACAACUUGCACCUGGGACCAGUGAUGAAAGUCAUUCAUCUUGGCGGCCUUCAGAUGUCCCUUGGCCAACCAGUCAAGGGCAGUGUUUAAUAAAUAACAUGUUGCUGCUGUUUCUGACCGAUGCAGCAUUGUCUGGAUUGUUACUAUGGAGCCAGAGAAGGAACAAGUAACUCACGCUGACUCGAAUCCGGCUGUUCUUAUGAGACAAGGUCCUUCUCACUUUCACCUGUAGCCAGACCUAGAUGGUUAAGAUAGCCUUAGACCCUCAUCCCCCAGAGUAUUAAAAAAUACAGGGGUCGGGGAGGACUUAGUAUAAGUAAAAUGCCUAGUACUGGUUAUUUGUUAGCAGUAGAUCAUAGACAAGCUACUUUAAAUUCCUUUCCUGAUGGUGUAUGUCUCCCUUGAAUGAUGAACUCAAAAGUCCAGAAAGACUGUAGUCACUCUUAGAUAAUCUGGUCUUACAGUAUGCAGUGUAUUGCUGGGGGUAUGGUUCAGAGGCUAAGAACACUUGCUGGUCUUGUAGAGAACCCUUGUUCAGCUCACAGCACCCACAUGGGGCCAGUGAAAAAUCUGUAAAUCUGGUUCCAGGUGUAUCUCACAUCCUUCUUGUCUUUGAGGGCAUCUGAUAAACCUUUCUUUAAAAAGUACACAGCGAAUGAUACAGAGCUUUAAAAUCAUAAACAUACUGUAAGAAAAUAUGAAUUUAGUGGAAUAUGUUGAUUUAUUAAGGGAUUAGCAUCCCAGGCCACUAAGUUGACUAUUAGUCUGGCUACAAAUAAAUUCUUGGCGUAGGGCCUCAGUUGUCAACCACAGCUACAAAUUUGGUGCAGUAUACUAAUAAACGCAAUUUAUGUUUCUGUGUAGAGAAAUUCCUGCAACAUUCACAAGGAUUAAGUUGAUAACUGUUGCAAUUUAUUUGUGCAGAACACUCAGGCUGAUAGUUGGCUUUACAUUUUUUUUUGAGUUUUUAAUUUUAAAUGAGCAAAGCCACACUGGUGCAAUUGUCCAUGCUACAAAAAUUAAUUUGUAUAUUUUCUUUAUCCUAAUCACCACAGGGUUGGCUUUGGCUUAGCAAUCUGAUAACAAAUGUUUCAUGGAAUUCUUUGCCAAGCAUAAAGAAAGAAGAAAUCCAAGCCCUUUCAAGAGGAUGAUAAUGAUGAAUCAGCCCACACAGCACAGGGCUUCAUUCCUUACAGUGGUUUCCUCAGGAAAUGCUGGUUUAGUUCUUGAAUAAUUGAAAGUUUGCCGAAUGAAUGCAUAGUAGAUGUGUGCAUGACAAUGAGGUUGGGAGGCCUGUUUCUGGAAACCUCUGAGAACUGAGAGCAUCCCAUAUCCCUUAAAGCAGAGAGCCUGGCUGGCCCUGAGAACAGCCCAGCCUGGAGUCCCUAGGGCUCUGCUUUCUUCUCAUUAUUUUAAAGUGUUCUUCCUGAACUGUGAUUAGCAUUACAUUAUAGAACGCAGGUUUGUAUUUCUGUCAUCUUUCCCCUUUCCUGCAGGAUUUGUCUCUUUCCUUCCUUCAUUUCUUCUCCACCCCUGUUUGUAGUUAGGAGGACGUAGGUGACAGGCAUACAAUCUCUUUCUGAAUCCUUUUUCCUAAUCACCCUUUUCCCUAAGGCAGGAAAUCUGAUCACAGGUCUCUAACUGUUAAAAUGGUCCAAGGAGAAAACUCUGAACUCCUUUUAAAUAACAUGCACUGAAUCGUACCCAGCCUGAAUUCAUCUAUGCCCCCACCCCCCCACAGUGUGAGUGUCUGUCGGGAUACAGUCUUUAGGGGAUUAUUUAAAUAAAGUCUAAGAGCUAGA